CAAGGUCCGGCCCCGUCCAGAACUUCCUCCCAGGUCCAUUUCUCCCGCCAGUCCAACUCGAAUUCCCUCUGCUCCUUCUUCUGCUGCUUGGUCCUUGAGUGGUGGGUGAUUCUGUCACAGUUGUCGUCGGUGAAUGAGGACCAAAACGCAGCAGAGCGCUCCACAGACGAGAGGGAUUCCGUUUGUGGCCUGCCCCGCACACUCAGGAUUACCACGCACCGUUAAUCAAAGGCAACGCGGCAGGACCUAGGAGGAAGAGAAAAGUUCGCCACAGACAGAUGUAGGUGAGCUGCUCUAGUCUGGUUAGCUAUCCAGUUGCUGGAAAGGACCUCUAGAACCAACAAUGUAGGCUACGGUUCGGGUUAGCCAAUCGUGUGAAAAGGGCGUAUGUUUACUCCCCCAUUUCUCCUCUUGUCUUUCUGUGUCCUGCCCAUGAAGAAAUGACUUAUUUUACUUCAAGUUUGAUUCAGUUCAAACUAAAUGUGCUUCAUUGGCACAGCAAAGAUAGCAGCCUAUGC
Molecule: long non-coding RNA, 518 nt
Filed under: Salmo salar (Atlantic salmon)
Lineage: Eukaryota; Metazoa; Chordata; Actinopteri; Salmoniformes; Salmonidae
Description: lncRNA (ENSSSAG00000084395.1)
Source: RNAcentral